GACGAACCGUGCGAACGUUGUUCGGAAUCACUGGGCUUAAAGGGCGCGUAGGCGGAGGGUGUAGUCGGUGGUGAAAUCCUCCAGCUUAACUGGAGAAUGGCCUCCGAUACUGACUCUCUCGAGGGAGGUAGGGGCAUGUGGAACUCAGGGUGGAGCGGUGAAAUGCGUAGAUAUCCUGAGGAACGCCGGUGGCGAAAGCGACGUGCUGGACCUCUUCUGACGCUGAGGCGCGAAAGCCAGGGGAGCAAACGGGAUUAGAUACCCCGGUAGUCCUGGCCCUAAACGUUGGGUACUAGAUUGUGGACUUAACAUGGGUUCACAGUCGAAGCAAAAGUGUUAAGUACCCCGCCUGGGGAGUAUGGUCGCAAGGCUGAA
Molecule: ribosomal RNA, 375 nt
Filed under: uncultured bacterium
Lineage: Bacteria
Description: bacterial SSU rRNA
Rfam family: Bacterial small subunit ribosomal RNA
Source: RNAcentral